RNAcentral lists this ribosomal RNA (397 nucleotides) under uncultured bacterium. RNAcentral's name for it is "bacterial SSU rRNA". It matches the Rfam family "Bacterial small subunit ribosomal RNA", at positions 28 to 431 of the family's 1533-position model. The record is from RNAcentral.
GACGAACGCUGGCGGCGUGCUUAACACAUGCAAGUCGAGCGGUAAGGCCCUUUCGGGGUACGACGAGCGGCGAACGGGUGAGUAACACGUGGGUGACCUGCCCUCAGCUCUGGGAUAAGCCUGGGAAACCGGGUCUAAUACUGGAUAUGACUCCAUGACGCAUGUUGUGGGGUGAAAGCCUUGUGCGGCUGAGGAUGGGCCCGCGGCCUAUCAGCUUUGUUGGUGGGGUGAGGCCUACCAAGGCGACGACGGGUAGCCGGCCUGAGAGGGCGACCGGCCACACUGGGACUGAGACACGGCCCAGACUCCUACGGGAGGCAGCAGUGGGGAAUCUUGCGCAAUGGGCGAAAGCCUGACGCAGCGACGCCGCGUGAGGGAUGACGGCCUGGUGUAACGU